AUGGUGGAAUUGCCAGUCUGUCCGUGAGCUGAGCUGUGGCUGCAGGGCACUGUCAGGUAUUGUUGGCUAUGGUGGAAUUGCCAGUCUGUCCGUGAGCUGAGCUGUGGCUGCAGGGCACUGUCAGGUAUUGUUGGCUAUGGUGGAAUUGCCAGUCUGUCCGUGAGCUGAGCUGUGGCUGCAGGGCACUGUCAGAUGGUGGAAUUGCCAGUCUGUCCGUGAGCUGAGCUGUGGCUGCAGGGCACUGUCAGAUGGUGGAAUUGCCAGUCUGUCCGUGAGCUGAGCUGUGGCUGCAGGGCACUGUCAGAUGGUGGAAUUGCCAGUCUGUCCGUGAGCUGAGCUGUGGCUGCAGGGCACUGUCAGAUGGUGGAAUUGCCAGUCUGUCCGUGAGCUGAGCUGUGGCUGCAGGGCACUGUCAGAUGGUGGAAUUGCCAGUCUGUCCGUGAGCUGAGCUGUGGCUGCAGGGCACUGUCAGAGACCGACCAAACUGGAGAAUUUGAAUCAGAGAGGAAGCGAUGCACAACAAAUGCAGGGAGAAAUGGUGGAAUGGUGAUGGAAUCCUGCAGUGGUUCGGGUUGCAAGGGACCUUAAAGCUCAUGCAGCCCCACUCCCUGAGCAGGGACACCUUCCCCUAGCCCAGGGAAAAAGGCUGGAGCAAGAGGUUCCAAAAAGAACGGGGCUUUCUGCACGACGAAACCCGGGAGUGCCCGAUCCUGCCUGGAAGGCGGGGGUGAACGGGCGGUGGGCGCCGCCAUGAAAGGAGCCGAGGGGCAGGGACUUGUCCGUACAAGGAGUGUCGGGGCGUGCCCAUGGCCAUAAAAGGUAAACGAAGGGUGGGGAUAUGCCCGAAAAAGG
Long non-coding RNA from Myiozetetes cayanensis, 852 nucleotides. RefSeq lists it as uncharacterized. NCBI's taxonomy places the organism in Eukaryota, Metazoa, Chordata, Aves, Passeriformes, Tyrannidae. The transcript has 10 exons. The record is from RefSeq and is a predicted model, not a curated record.